This 275-nucleotide unclassified non-coding RNA is filed under the name uncultured Pezizales. Its description in RNAcentral is "sequence contains ITS2". The stretch from base 1 to 52 matches the Rfam family "5.8S ribosomal RNA", at positions 103 to 154 of the family's 154-position model. The record is from RNAcentral. Lineage: Eukaryota; Fungi; Ascomycota; Pezizomycetes; Pezizales.
AACGCACAUUGCGCCCUAUGGUAUUCCGUAGGGCAUGCCUGUCUGAGCGUCAGCUCCCACCCACUCAAGUCUUUUUAGAUUUGGAUUACCUUGAGGAAGUGUCAUUUUUUAUAGUGCUGCUCCUCAGAAAUUCAUAGGCAAUACGGCAAAUCCUGAACCGGGCGUAAUAAGGAUAUAAAAUCGUCAAGGCAGGCAAUCUGUAUUAGUCUUUAACCCCCCCCAUUUACUUAUAUUUGGGUGACCUCAGAUCAGGUAGGGAUACCCGCUGAACUUAA